This is a long non-coding RNA of Physeter macrocephalus (sperm whale), 1085 nucleotides long. RefSeq lists it as uncharacterized. NCBI's taxonomy places the organism in Eukaryota, Metazoa, Chordata, Mammalia, Artiodactyla, Physeteridae. The record is from RefSeq and is a predicted model, not a curated record. The transcript has 3 exons.
UUUACAGUUUUCUUUGGACAGGUUUCAGGGGCUGUGAACAUUCUUGGAGAGAGGGCCUGAGUGUGCAAAUCCUUUAGGUUAGACCCCAAGGCACCCCUUCGUUUAGCCAGUCCCUGGGAAGGAUGUAGUGCCAAGCAGGGGCAGGUACUUAGCCGACUGGGGUGACAGGAUUGCUGUGUCUCUGGGGAAGCUCUCAAGGAACAGCAGCUAAAGAAGAAACCCAGCUUCAUGGAGACCCAUCGACACUUCUGAGACACAACGGACUGCCCACCUCAUCCUAACUGGAAUCAGUAACUCAGAGCUGCCCUGGUCGUCAUGUGUUUGGGUGGCCUUGUGAGGAUGUCCUUCCAUUCUCAGUUCCAGGCUGGUGUCACUCACUGAAGGUUAGAGUGAUUCCCUGGUACUUCAUACUUUAAACACUUCUUCUGAUCUAAACCUUGAAUCUCCUGGCCACACAACACGCAGUGUUUCUUCCAAGUGAUCGGUCUCCCAUAAUGUUCUGCUGGACUUUCCUUCUUAGAGAGCCCUAUCGUAGGGAGCUGUCAUCUGCCCUCACCCCUCUCCUUUCUGACCCAGGGGGAACAUCUCAGCUGUCCCGCGAUACAUUCUGAUAAGUGGUGAGACAGAUGCGCGCGUGUGCAGCGUGUACAGCUGGGUGGCAUCCUCACUCCUAUUGUGACCACCGGCCGUCACAGGCCAGCCUCUCGUGAGGGUGUUUUCAACCCUCAUCUCUCUCCGUAAGACCAGUGGGAAAACUCUGGCUGAGAAUGAACCGAUUUGCCCCAUGUCAUAAAGCCCAGAAGCCCAGCCAGGACUUCCGACCCCAAACGCAGGUCUUUUCCAAUAUGGAGAGUCAUCUAACUUGGGAAGCCAUCUACUCAGAAACUAAGUUGUUAGACGUGCUGUACAAGGCAGACCCUCUGAGGAAUGAGGGCCAUCGACGUUACAGAAACGUGUCUUCCCCAGCCUGUAUAGACCUCAGGAAACAGUGCAGUGGUGCCCCCAGUAUGGACUAAGUCAAACUGGAUGAGCCUACAUCUCACCCUCCUCCACCCCCCCGAAUCCAUAUCCUUUGGAAAUUUUGG